RNAcentral lists this ribosomal RNA (468 nucleotides) under uncultured bacterium. RNAcentral describes it as "partial 16S ribosomal RNA". It matches the Rfam family "Bacterial small subunit ribosomal RNA", at positions 28 to 507 of the family's 1533-position model. The record is from RNAcentral.
GACGAACGCUGGCGGCGUGCUUAACACAUGCAAGUCGAACGGAAAGGCCCUGCUUGCGUGGGGAGCUAGAGUGGCGAACGGGAGAGUUACCCGUGAGUAACCUGCCCUUGACUUUGGGAUAACUUCAGGCGGCUGGGGAUAACACAGGAUAGGAGCUCGUGCUGCAUGGUGGGGGUUGGAAAGUAUGGGAGGGUAGGGAUGGACGCUCGGCUUAUCAGCUUGUUGGUGGGGUAGUGGCUUACCAAGUGUUUGGCGGGUAGCCGGCAUGAGAGGGUAGCCGGCCUCAUGGCGACUGAGGUACGGCGCAGACUGCUACAUGAGGCAGUGGUCGGGAAUAUUGCACAAUGGGCGGAAGCGUGAGACAGCAACCUCGCGAUCGGGAAGACGGCCUUCUUGUUGUAAACCGCAUUCGCCUGUGACGAAGCUUGAGUGACGGUAAUGAGUGAAGAAGCACCGGCUAACUACGUG